CGGGGCCUUAUUCAGCUUGUUGGCGGGGUAACGGCCCACCAAGGCGACGACGGGUAGCUGGUCUGAGAGGACGGCCAGCCACACUGGGACUGAGACACGGCCCAGACUCCUACGGGAGGCAGCAGUGGGGAAUCUUGCGCAAUGGGCGAAAGCCUGACGCAGCGACGCCGCGUGGGGGAUGAAGGCCCUCGGGUUGUAAACCCCUUUCGGCAGGGACGAAGCGAAAGUGACGGUACCUGCAGAAGAAGCUCCGGCUAACUACGUGCCAGCAGCCGCGGUAAGACGUAGGGAGCGAGCGUUGUCCGGAUUUAUAGGGCGUAAAGCGCGCGUAGGCGGCCGUGCAAGUCGGUUGUGAAAUUCCGGGGCUCAACCCCGGGACUGCGUCCGAUACUGUGCGGCUCGAGGCAGGCAGGGGAGAGUGGAAUUCCCGGUGUAGCGGUGAUAUGCGCAGAUAUCGGGAGGAACACCGGUGGCGAAGGCGGCUCUCUGGGCCUGUCCUGACGCUCAGGCGCGAAAGCUAGGGGAGCGAACAGGAUUAGAUACCCUGGUAGUCCUAGCCGUAAACGUUGGGCGCUAGGUGUGGGGAGAUAUCGACCCUUUCCGUGCCGAAGCUAACGCAUUAAGCGCCCCGCCUGGGGAGUACGG
This 645-nucleotide ribosomal RNA is filed under the name uncultured actinomycete. RNAcentral's name for it is "bacterial SSU rRNA". It matches the Rfam family "Bacterial small subunit ribosomal RNA", at positions 231 to 885 of the family's 1533-position model. The record is from RNAcentral. Lineage: Bacteria; Bacillati; Actinomycetota; Actinomycetes; Actinomycetales.